GACGAACGCUGGCGGCGUGCUUAACACAUGCAAGUCGAGCGGUAAGGCCCUUUCGGGGGUACACGAGCGGCGAACGGGUGAGUAACACGUGGGUGACCUGCCCUCAGCUCUGGGAUAAGCCUGGGAAACCGGGUCUAAUACUGGAUAUGACUCCAUGACGCAUGUUGUGGGGUGGAAAGCCUUGUGCGGCUGAGGAUGGGCCCGCGGCCUAUCAGCUUGUUGGUGGGGUGANGGCCUACCAAGGCGACGACGGGUAGCCGGCCUGAGAGGGCGACCGGCCACACUGGGGACUGAGACACGGCCCAGGACUCCUACGGGAGGCAGCAGUGGGGAAUCUUGCGCAAUGGGCGAAAGCCUGACGCAGCGACGCCGCGUGAGGGAUGACGGCCUGGUGUACGUAC
Molecule: ribosomal RNA, 401 nt
Filed under: uncultured bacterium
Lineage: Bacteria
Description: bacterial SSU rRNA
Rfam family: Bacterial small subunit ribosomal RNA
Source: RNAcentral